CACGCCGUAAACGAUGAUAACUAGCUGUCGGGGCUCUUAGAGCUUCGGUGGCGCAGCUAACGCAUUAAGUUAUCCGCCUGGGGAGUACGGCCGCAAGGUUAAAACUCAAAGGAAUUGACGGGGGCCUGCACAAGCGGUGGAGCAUGUGGUUUAAUUCGAAGCAACGCGCAGAACCUUACCAGCGUUUGACAUGGCAGGACGAUUUCCAGAGAUGGACUUCUUCUCGUAAGAGACCUGCACACAGGUGC
Molecule: ribosomal RNA, 248 nt
Filed under: uncultured Sphingomonadaceae bacterium
Lineage: Bacteria; Pseudomonadati; Pseudomonadota; Alphaproteobacteria; Sphingomonadales; Sphingomonadaceae
Description: partial 16S ribosomal RNA
Rfam family: Bacterial small subunit ribosomal RNA
Source: RNAcentral